CUGGGUGUAGCUCAGGAGCGAGAGCGCGUGGUUCGGAUCCACGAGGCCGCUGGUGCGAUUCCAGUCACCCAGA
This 73-nucleotide transfer RNA is filed under the name Deltaproteobacteria bacterium. RNAcentral describes it as "tRNA-Pro". RNAcentral also lists the same sequence under 1 other name. Lineage: Bacteria; Pseudomonadati; Myxococcota; Myxococcia. The record is from RNAcentral.